Molecule: ribosomal RNA, 517 nt
Filed under: uncultured bacterium
Lineage: Bacteria
Description: partial 16S ribosomal RNA
Rfam family: Bacterial small subunit ribosomal RNA
Source: RNAcentral
AACGAACGCUGGCGGCGUGCUUAACACAUGCAAGUCGAACGCGAAAGGGACUUCGGUCCUGAGUAAAGUGGCGCACGGGUGAGUAACGCGUGGAUAAUCUGCCCAAUGGACUGGGAUGACAUCUCGAAAGGGGUGCUAAUACCGGAUAAGACCACGGGAUCUUUGGAUUCUGCGGUAAAAGGUGGGGCCCUUCGGGCCUACCGUCAUUGGAUGAGUCCGGGUACCAUUAGCUAGUUGGUAGGGUAAUGGCCUACCAAGGCUACGAUGGUUAGCUGGUCUGAGAGGAUGAUCAGCCACACUGGAACUGAGACACGGUCCAGACUCCUACGGGAGGCAGCAGUGGGGAAUUUUGCGCAAUGGGGGAAACCCUGACGCAGCAACGCCGCGUGAGUGAUGAAGGCCUUCGGGUCGUAAAGCUCUGUCAGAGGGGAAGAAGUGCAGUGGUGCUAAUAUCGCCAUUGUUUGACGGUACCCUCAAAGGAAGCACCGGCUAACUCCGUGCCAGCCGCCGCAGUAA